UUAAGCGACUAAGCGUACACGGUGGAUGCCCUGGCAGUCAGAGGCGAUGAAGGACGUGCUAAUCUGCGAUAAGCGUCGGUAAGGUGAUAUGAACCGUUAUAACCGGCGAUUUCCGAAUGGGGAAACCCAGUGUGUUUCGACACACUAUCAUUAACUGAAUCCAUAGGUUAAUGAGGCGAACCGGGGGAACUGAAACAUCUAAGUACCCCGAGGAAAAGAAAUCAACCGAGAUUCCCCCAGUAGCGGCGAGCGAACGGGGAGCAGCCCAGAGCCUGAAUCAGUGUGUGUGUUAGUGGAAGCGUCUGGAAAGGCGCGCGAUACAGGGUGACAGCCCCGUACACAAAAAUGCACAUGCUGUGAGCUCGAUGAGUAGGGCGGGACACGUGGUAUCCUGUCUGAAUAUGGGGGGACCAUCCUCCAAGGCUAAAUACUCCUGACUGACCGAUAGUGAACCAGUACCGUGAGGGAAAGGACGAAAAGAACCCCGGCGAGGGGAGUGAAAAAGAACCUGAAACCGUGUACGUACAAGCAGUGGGAGCACGCUUCGGCGUGUGACUGCGUACCUUUUGUAUAAUGGGUCAGCGACUUAUAUUCUGUAGCAAGGUUAACCGAAUAGGGGAGCCGAAGGGAAACCGAGUCUUAACUGGGCGUUAAGUUGCAGGGUAUAGACCCGAAACCCGGUGAUCUAGCCAUGGGCAGGUUGAAGGUUGGGUAACACUAACUGGAGGACCGAACCGACUAAUGUUGAAAAAUUAGCGGAUGACUUGUGGCUGGGGGUGAAAGGCCAAUCAAACCGGGAGAUAGCUGGUUCUCCCCGAAAGCUAUUUAGGUAGCGCCUCGUGAAUUCAUCUCCGGGGGUAGAGCACUGUUUCGGCAAGGGGGUCAUCCCGACUUACCAACCCGAUGCAAACUGCGAAUACCGGAGAAUGUUAUCACGGGAGACACACGGCGGGUGCUAACGUCCGUCGUGAAGAGGGAAACAACCCAGACCGCCAGCUAAGGUCCCAAAGUCAUGGUUAAGUGGGAAACGAUGUGGGAAGGCCCAGACAGCCAGGAUGUUGGCUUAGAAGCAGCCAUCAUUUAAAGAAAGCGUAAUAGCUCACUGGUCGAGUCGGCCUGCGCGGAAGAUGUAACGGGGCUAAACCAUGCACCGAAGCUGCGGCAGCGACGCUUAUGCGUUGUUGGGUAGGGGAGCGUUCUGUAAGCCUGUGAAGGUGUGCUGUGAGGCAUGCUGGAGGUAUCAGAAGUGCGAAUGCUGACAUAAGUAACGAUAAAGCGGGUGAAAAGCCCGCUCGCCGGAAGACCAAGGGUCCCUGUCCAACGUUAAUCGGGGCAGGGUGAGUCGACCCCUAAGGCGAGGCCGAAAGGCGUAGUCGAUGGGAAACAGGUUAAUAUUCCUGUACUUGGUGUUACUGCGAAGGGGGGACGGAGAAGGCUAUGUUGGCCGGGCGACGGUUGUCCCGGUUUAAGCGUGUAGGCUGGUUUUCCAGGCAAAUCCGGAAAAUCAAGGCUGAGGCGUGAUGACGAGGCACUACGGUGCUGAAGCAACAAAUGCCCUGCUUCCAGGAAAAGCCUCUAAGCAUCAGGUAACAUCAAAUCGUACCCCAAACCGACACAGGUGGUCAGGUAGAGAAUACCAAGGCGCUUGAGAGAACUCGGGUGAAGGAACUAGGCAAAAUGGUGCCGUAACUUCGGGAGAAGGCACGCUGAUAUGUAGGUGAAGUCCCUCGCGGAUGGAGCUGAAAUCAGUCGAAGAUACCAGCUGGCUGCAACUGUUUAUUAAAAACACAGCACUGUGCAAACACGAAAGUGGACGUAUACGGUGUGACGCCUGCCCGGUGCCGGAAGGUUAAUUGAUGGGGUUAGCGGUAACGCGAAGCUCUUGAUCGAAGCCCCGGUAAACGGCGGCCGUAACUAUAACGGUCCUAAGGUAGCGAAAUUCCUUGUCGGGUAAGUUCCGACCUGCACGAAUGGCGUAAUGAUGGCCAGGCUGUCUCCACCCGAGACUCAGUGAAAUUGAACUCGCUGUGAAGAUGCAGUGUACCCGCGGCAAGACGGAAAGACCCCGUGAACCUUUACUAUAGCUUGACACUGAACAUUGAGCCUUGAUGUGUAGGAUAGGUGGGAGGCUUUGAAGUGUGGACGCCAGUCUGCAUGGAGCCGACCUUGAAAUACCACCCUUUAAUGUUUGAUGUUCUAACGUUGACCCGUAAUCCGGGUUGCGGACAGUGUCUGGUGGGUAGUUUGACUGGGGCGGUCUCCUCCUAAAGAGUAACGGAGGAGCACGAAGGUUGGCUAAUCCUGGUCGGACAUCAGGAGGUUAGUGCAAUGGCAUAAGCCAGCUUGACUGCGAGCGUGACGGCGCGAGCAGGUGCGAAAGCAGGUCAUAGUGAUCCGGUGGUUCUGAAUGGAAGGGCCAUCGCUCAACGGAUAAAAGGUACUCCGGGGAUAACAGGCUGAUACCGCCCAAGAGUUCAUAUCGACGGCGGUGUUUGGCACCUCGAUGUCGGCUCAUCACAUCCUGGGGCUGAAGUAGGUCCCAAGGGUAUGGCUGUUCGCCAUUUAAAGUGGUACGCGAGCUGGGUUUAGAACGUCGUGAGACAGUUCGGUCCCUAUCUGCCGUGGGCGCUGGAGAACUGAGGGGGGCUGCUCCUAGUACGAGAGGACCGGAGUGGACGCAUCACUGGUGUUCGGGUUGUCAUGCCAAUGGCACUGCCCGGUAGCUAAAUGCGGAAGAGAUAAGUGCUGAAAGCAUCUAAGCACGAAACUUGCCCCGAGAUGAGUUCUCCCUGACUCCUUGAGAGUCCUGAAGGAACGUUGAAGACGACGACGUUGAUAGGCCGGGUGUGUAAGCGCAGCGAUGCGUUGAGCUAACCGGUACUAAUGAACCGUGAGGCUUAACCUU
RNAcentral lists this ribosomal RNA (2905 nucleotides) under Escherichia coli P0298942.1. RNAcentral's name for it is "bacterial LSU rRNA". It matches the Rfam family "Bacterial large subunit ribosomal RNA". Lineage: Bacteria; Pseudomonadati; Pseudomonadota; Gammaproteobacteria; Enterobacterales; Enterobacteriaceae. The record is from RNAcentral.